This 468-nucleotide ribosomal RNA is filed under the name uncultured bacterium. RNAcentral describes it as "partial 16S ribosomal RNA". It matches the Rfam family "Bacterial small subunit ribosomal RNA", at positions 28 to 507 of the family's 1533-position model. The record is from RNAcentral.
GACGAACGCUGGCGGCGUUCUUAACACAUGCAAGUCGAACGGAAGUGCCCUGCUUUUGUGGGGUGCUCGAGUGGCGAACGGGUGCGUAACACGUGAGUAACCUCCCCUUUACUUUGGGAUAUCCUCAGGAAACUUUUGCUAAUCACCGUUAGGAGCUCCUGCUUCCUGGUGGUUGUUGGAAAGUUUCGUCCGUUGGGGUUGGACUCGCGGCUUCCCAGCUUGUUGUUGGGGUAGUGGCUUACCAAGGCUUUGACGGUUAGUCGGCCUGAGAGGGUGACCGGCCUCAUUGAGACUGAGAUACGGCCCAGACUUCUACGGGAGGCAGCAGUAAGGAAAAUUGAACCAUGGGCGGAAGCAUGAUGCAGGAACGCCGCGUGCGGGAUGACGGCCUUCGGGUUGUAACCCGCUUUCGAAUGUGACGAAGCGUGAGUGGCGGUAAUGGGUAGAGAAGCACAGGCUAAAUACGUG